RNAcentral lists this unclassified non-coding RNA (209 nucleotides) under Hevea brasiliensis (rubber tree). The record is from RNAcentral. Lineage: Eukaryota; Viridiplantae; Streptophyta; Magnoliopsida; Malpighiales; Euphorbiaceae.
AUAUAGGACUCCUCCUGCAAGCAUUAUAAGCAAAUACAAAAUAUCAAUAAGAAACCAAAGAAAGCAUACACGCAUGUGCGUAAGGAACUAAGCAAGGACAAUCAGUUGAACAGAAAUGAAAAUACUGCAUCCCCAGACAACAUGACCCUCAAAGCUUUGCAAACAAAGCUUCAAUUAUUCUCCUUUUCUUUUAAAUCAUGGAAGGAAAA